This 468-nucleotide ribosomal RNA is filed under the name uncultured bacterium. RNAcentral's name for it is "partial 16S ribosomal RNA". It matches the Rfam family "Bacterial small subunit ribosomal RNA", at positions 28 to 507 of the family's 1533-position model. The record is from RNAcentral.
GAUGAACGCUGGCGGCGUGCUUAACACAUGCAAGUCGAACGGAAAGGCCCUGCUUUUGUGGGGUGCUCGAGUGGCGAACGGGUGAGUAACACGUGAGUAACCUGCCCUUGACUUUGGGAUAACUUCAGGAAACUGGGGCUAAUACCGGAUAGGAGCUCCUGCUGCAUGGCGGGGGUUGGAAAGUUUCGGCGGUUGGGGAUGGACUCGCGGCUUAUCAGCUUGUUGGUGGGGUAGUGGCUUACCAAGGCUUUGACGGGUAGCCGGCCUGAGAGGGUGACCGGCCACAUUGGGACUGAGAUACGGCCCAGACUCCUACGGGAGGCAGCAGUGGGGAAUAUUGCACAAUGGGCGGAAGCCUGAUGCAGCAACGCCGCGUGCGGGAUGACGGCCUUCGGGUUGUAAACCGCUUUCGCCUGUGACGAAGCGUGAGUGACGGUAAUGGGUAAAGAAGCACCGGCUAACUACGUG